GGGACACGUGGUAUCCUGUCUGAAUAUGGGGGGACCAUCCUCCAAGGCUAAAUACUCCUGACUGACCGAUAGUGAACCAGUACCGUGAGGGAAAGGCGAAAAGAACCCCGGCGAGGGGAGUGAAAAAGAACCUGAAACCGUGUACGUACAAGCAGUGGGAGCACGCUUAGGCGUGUGACUGCGUACCUUUUGUAUAAUGGGUCAGCGACUUAUAUUCUGUAGCAAGGUUAACCGAAUAGGGGAGCCGAAGGGAAACCGAGUCUUAACUGGGCGUUAAGUUGCAGGGUAUAGACCCGAAACCCGGUGAUCUAGCCAUGGGCAGGUUGAAGGUUGGGUAACACUAACUGGAGGACCGAACCGACUAAUGUUGAAAAAUUAGCGGAUGACUUGUGGCUGGGGGUGAAAGGCCAAUCAAACCGGGAGAUAGCUGGUUCUCCCCGAAAGCUAUUUAGGUAGCGCCUCGUGAAUUCAUCUCCGGGGGUAGAGCACUGUUUCGGCAAGGGGGUCAUCCCGACUUACCAACCCGAUGCAAACUGCGAAUACCGGAGAAUGUUAUCACGGGAGACACACGGCGGGUGCUAACGUCCGUCGUGAAGAGGGAAACAACCCAGACCGCCAGCUAAGGUCCCAAAGUCAUGGUUAAGUGGGAAACGAUGUGGGAAGGCCCAGACAGCCAGGAUGUUGGCUUAGAAGCAGCCAUCAUUUAAAGAAAGCGUAAUAGCUCACUGGUCGAGUCGGCCUGCGCGGAAGAUGUAACGGGGCUAAACCAUGCACCGAAGCUGCGGCAGCGACGCUUAUGCGUUGUUGGGUAGGGGAGCGUUCUGUAAGCCUGCGAAGGUGUGCUGUGAGGCAUGCUGGAGGUAUCAGAAGUGCGAAUGCUGACAUAAGUAACGAUAAAGCGGGUGAAAAGCCCGCUCGCCGGAAGACCAAGGGUUCCUGUCCAACGUUAAUCGGGGCAGGGUGAGUCGACCCCUAAGGCGAGGCCGAAAGGCGUAGUCGAUGGGAAACAGGUUAAUAUUCCUGUACUUGGUGUUACUGCGAAGGGGGGACGGAGAAGGCUAUGUUGGCCGGGCGACGGUUGUCCCGGUUUAAGCGUGUAGGCUGGUUUUCCAGGCAAAUCCGGAAAAUCAAGGCUGAGGCGUGAUGACGAGGCACUACGGUGCUGAAGCAACAAAUGCCCUGCUUCCAGGAAAAGCCUCUAAGCAUCAGGUAACAUCAAAUCGUACCCCAAACCGACACAGGUGGUCAGGUAGAGAAUACCAAGGCGCUUGAGAGAACUCGGGUGAAGGAACUAGGCAAAAUGGUGCCGUAACUUCGGGAGAAGGCACGCUGAUAUGUAGGUGAAGUCCCUCGCGGAUGGAGCUGAAAUCAGUCGAAGAUACCAGCUGGCUGCAACUGUUUAUUAAAAACACAGCACUGUGCAAACACGAAAGUGGACGUAUACGGUGUGACGCCUGCCCGGUGCCGGAAGGUUAAUUGAUGGGGUUAGCGCAAGCGAAGCUCUUGAUCGAAGCCCCGGUAAACGGCGGCCGUAACUAUAACGGUCCUAAGGUAGCGAAAUUCCUUGUCGGGUAAGUUCCGACCUGCACGAAUGGCGUAAUGAUGGCCAGGCUGUCUCCACCCGAGACUCAGUGAAAUUGAACUCGCUGUGAAGAUGCAGUGUACCCGCGGCAAGACGGAAAGACCCCGUGAACCUUUACUAUAGCUUGACACUGAACAUUGAGCCUUGAUGUGUAGGAUAGGUGGGAGGCUUUGAAGUGUGGACGCCAGUCUGCAUGGAGCCGACCUUGAAAUACCACCCUUUAAUGUUUGAUGUUCUAACGUGGACCCGUAAUCCGGGUUGCGGACAGUGUCUGGUGGGUAGUUUGACUGGGGCGGUCUCCUCCUAAAGAGUAACGGAGGAGCACGAAGGUUGGCUAAUCCUGGUCGGACAUCAGGAGGUUAGUGCAAUGGCAUAAGCCAGCUUGACUGCGAGCGUGACGGCGCGAGCAGGUGCGAAAGCAGGUCAUAGUGAUCCGGUGGUUCUGAAUGGAAGGGCCAUCGCUCAACGGAUAAAAGGUACUCCGGGGAUAACAGGCUGAUACCGCCCAAGAGUUCAUAUCGACGGCGGUGUUUGGCACCUCGAUGUCGGCUCAUCACAUCCUGGGGCUGAAGUAGGUCCCAAGGGUAUGGCUGUUCGCCAUUUAAAGUGGUACGCGAGCUGGGUUUAGAACGUCGUGAGACAGUUCGGUCCCUA
This 2236-nucleotide ribosomal RNA is filed under the name Escherichia coli. Its description in RNAcentral is "partial 23S ribosomal RNA". It matches the Rfam family "Bacterial large subunit ribosomal RNA", at positions 419 to 2640 of the family's 2925-position model. The record is from RNAcentral. Lineage: Bacteria; Pseudomonadati; Pseudomonadota; Gammaproteobacteria; Enterobacterales; Enterobacteriaceae.